This 112-nucleotide non-coding RNA is filed under the name Candidatus Faecalibacterium avium. RNAcentral's name for it is "FMN riboswitch (RFN element)". It matches the Rfam family "FMN riboswitch aptamer (RFN element)". From Rfam's summary of the family: The RFN element is a highly conserved domain that is found frequently in the 5'-untranslated regions of prokaryotic mRNAs that encode for flavin mononucleotide (FMN) biosynthesis and transport proteins. This element is a metabolite-dependent riboswitch that directly binds FMN in the absence of proteins. The record is from RNAcentral. Lineage: Bacteria; Bacillati; Bacillota; Clostridia; Eubacteriales; Oscillospiraceae.
GUUUCGGGGCGGGGUGAGAUUCCCCACCGGCGGUAGAGCCCGCGACCACUUUGCUGCAAAGUGCUGACCCGGUGUGAUUCCGGGGCCGACAGUAUAGUCUGGAUGGAAGAGA